GGCUUGACAUGUCCGGAAAUUCUGCAGAGAUGCGGGAGUGCCCUUCGGGGAAAUCGGAAACA
This 62-nucleotide ribosomal RNA is filed under the name uncultured organism. Its description in RNAcentral is "partial 16S ribosomal RNA". The record is from RNAcentral.